This 253-nucleotide ribosomal RNA is filed under the name uncultured bacterium. Its description in RNAcentral is "partial 16S ribosomal RNA". It matches the Rfam family "Bacterial small subunit ribosomal RNA", at positions 524 to 776 of the family's 1533-position model. The record is from RNAcentral.
UACGUAGGGCGCGAGCGUUGUCCGGAUUUAUUGGGCGUAAAGAGCUCGUAGGCGGUUUGUCGCGUCGUUCGUGAAAACUCACAGCUUAACUGUGAGCCUGCGGUCGAUACGGGCAGGCUAGAGUUCGGUAGGGGAGACUGGAAUUCCUGGUGUAGCGGUGAAAUGCGCAGAUAUCAGGAGGAACACCGGUGGCGAAGGCGGGUCUCUGGGCCGAUACUGACGCUGAGGAGCGAAAGCGUGGGGAGCGAACAGG